AUAUAUAAUGCCAUAUUUAACGGGCCAUCUUUAGGGGUCUUAACCCAAUUAAAAAAUACCAAAAUAUAGAAAUAGUGAAAUUGGAAGAGAUAAACGGGUGUUAGCUAAGACUCUUUUGGUUUGGGUUCUUCUACCAGGUGUUAAUACGUGAGUGGCUGCAUAAAUUGUAAAUGAAAACAUUUUUCUUUUUUCUUUUUCUCCUCCAAAAUUUAUUUUUCUUCUCCUCCUCACGUUUCGAAUCAUGGCGGACAAAGCAGCAACGCAGUCCUCCUCGUCUCCGCCGGUAAUCUCAAAACCCGUCCUCUCUUUUUCCGAUUUACUUCACUUACCAACUCCUGAUACUCCUUGUUCAAGGACAUGGAAUCAAGUUUUUGUGGGUAUUGAGUUGAGGUUUCAUAGCUAAACUUAGAAGCAAUUUCAUGGAAGGAGAGAGUUGAUGGCUGGAAAAUGAAGCAUGAGGAGAACACUGGUCCGGUGAACACACAGGCUGCUUCUGAAAGAGGUGGAGGAGAUAUUGACGCCAGCACAGAUAUUCUCGUAGAUGAAGCUUUGUUGAAUGACGAAGCAAGGCAGCCUCUACCGUAUAACAAAUCCAGUGCCAAAUGCUUUCGCUCUGUGGCUGGUCUCAUUAAUACGUGAGAUUUGUUUCCAUUGGGGGAUUUUUGGAUCUGUUUCUUCAGACAUCAGACAAAAGGUGAUUCUUGGUACGUUUCAGUUUGAUAGAAAGAAGGACGAUGCCGCGAGGGGCUAAGCAUUGGGAAGCAUUGGAAGGAGCUUGUUGGUUACAAUGAAAUCUGAUUUAUAGUUCAUGUAUCAUUUCUGCAACAUCUUUGUGUUCUCCUAAACUACACUCUUUGUGCAAUUGUGACUUGUCCAAUUUGUUUA
Molecule: long non-coding RNA, 885 nt
Organism: Capsella rubella
Lineage: Eukaryota; Viridiplantae; Streptophyta; Magnoliopsida; Brassicales; Brassicaceae
Exons: 5
Source: RefSeq, a predicted model, not a curated record